This 3341-nucleotide antisense RNA is filed under the name Pan troglodytes (chimpanzee). The stretch from base 3 to 378 matches the Rfam family "HOXA transcript at the distal tip, conserved region 2". Lineage: Eukaryota; Metazoa; Chordata; Mammalia; Primates; Hominidae. The record is from RNAcentral.
CAAGUGUGCCCCUUCCUUCUUGACUUUUUAGCAGUUCUGGGUAAAUAUUGAUUUGCCCCCAGUUUACCUUCUCCCUGACUGGCCAUUUGCAGACUCAGGAACUAGCCUCUGUAGGGACUUGAUUUUUCUGUUACUUUCUGGCCGUUUCACCACCCCCCUUCCUCCCUCCAAGUGGCAUUGUAAAACUCACAGUGACAAAGAGACAGAGUAGGGUUCGAGGCCCCUGUUCCUGAGGACUUGAAGGCGGUUUUACAUACUGGUCAGACACGGCUGGAGGCCAAGGUCAAGUUGAAAGUUGCAGUCCAGCCAGCAUGAGAACUGCCAUGCGAGCGUAGAGACACAGGCAGCAGCAAAAGGCCCAUUGCCCACAUCCCCUCACUCUUUAUUUUCUCUCUCUUUUUAAAAUUCUCGGCUCUGACUCUGUUCGGCUGCCCAGAAUUUUUUGGUGCCUUCGUGGGGUUUUUGGGGCGGUGUUUACCGACUCUUCUCUGCCUCCGCCCUGCUCAGCCAGGGCUUUGAGCCUCUUCGGUUUUCCGGCCAGACCCGGAAAAACGAAAACACAGCUUGGGGAGCCCCCACUAGCCGGCGCCUGUGCCAGCUCACCUCUGGCCAUGGCGCAGCUGCCGGUGCACACGGCGGCCAAGGCCAGCUCCACAUUCUUCCCUCCCCCUCCCACUUCACCGGAGCCCCGAACCCUGCGCGCAGAGAAAGGGUCUCAGCUCCACAGACGACUGGGUCCCUCCUCACCAAAAAUGGUGAGACAAGAUUUCAUCUGUCGGCCGAGGAGCCACAAGCAGGUACCACAAAGCCACUAGUGCACAGGGACUCAGAAAGACGGCAGAAGCCCAAGGAAAACUCCAAUUUGAGUACAGCCCUGCCUUGUUUCCCCCAGAGAGUCCCUGAGCAAGGAGAUCUCCACCCCACACACACCAUUUCAGAACAACCAGGUUCCAGACUCCCAUGAGGAGCAUCUCCCACUGCACAGCCUUGGCCAGCCGCGCCCGGACUCCUCAGAGCUGGCGCAAACUCCGGCCUCCAAAACUCGGCUCUGGGAGGCCUAAGUGACUCCGAAGCCGGCGGCAGCCGCGGCAGCGGCCGUGGUGGUGGAAGAGCUCUUUUCCCCGACAGUGCCACUGAUCGCUCUUCACUGGAGCUGGAAACAGCCUUCGCGGAAAGGACCGGAGCACGCGUUAGAAGCAGGGGGAGCUUGGUGAAGGGCUCGGCUGGAGGGAGGAAACGCCUUCUCGCAGUGCGCGGCCAGCCCGCGGGGGACACCGGCUUGCUGGACUGCAGGGGCCUGUGCCACCCAGGGAGUGACCUGCGGGUCACUCAGCCGGGGCGCUGGGCGAGCGCGGGACGGCCCGGAGAAUUCCGUGCGGCUGCGACGGGAAAAGGACGAGGGGUCUCUGUACCCGACGCUGCCACUGGCCCAAAGGAAUUUUACCCGCGAGCGCCCACCCCACCCUAGCUUGAUGCUUACGCCCGCAACAAAACAGGAAACCAGGACUGGGCAGUGCAUUCUUUAAGUCAACAAAUACACUGAAGACUUCGAGCGUUUGAAGGAAGUAGGGGGUUUGCACGUAAGCCUGGCCCCGCCGGGCUCGGCUUUCUCGCUGAGAAAGCGGCGCAGGCAGCCAGGCGGCCUGGGCCCGCGGGGGUCCAUCUCGCCCUAGACUCCUAAGAACUCCCACGGCCCUGUUCCCAGCUGCGAAUUCUUAAUGCACAACGCGACGGAGGGAAGGAAAUUCACCAGCGCAGCGACGAGGAAGGGGAACUCAGGACCCCUUCAAGUACACACUGAGGUGUGAUCAGAGUUUUAUGGGCACUUUAUAUGCUGUAAUCAUAACGAUGUGUGUGCCUUGAUAUGCAAGCAUAUUCACGCAUCAAACGUGCAUACACACACAGAGUGAAUGUGCGCAUCCAAUGUCAUGUGGGUGAAAUACAGGCAUCAUACCCAGCCCUACGAAAAAAAAAUUCACCCUGUCGGACCAGGCUGGUGACAUACUUCGCUGGCGCAUCUCCUUACUCACUCUUACUUUUCCGACCCCUCACCAUUCCCUCUCCUGUGGCUUGGUAAAUACACCUGUCCCCCGUGGAAGGUGAGUCCUGGACUGGCGUUGCCAGGUUCGCAUGUCCUCCCCAGAACCUCCGUCUGGCUCCAGGGACUCUCACUGAGCGGGUCUAGAGCACCCAGCACUUUUCAAGGAACAGCCGCGGUUCCUUUGUCCCGCGGCUCCAGCCCCGUUCGGCCCAGCUCUCAGGGAAACGAAGCGCUCAGUAAGAACUUUUGAUAUUAGUUUGUAUGGGUAUUUACACUCUGGUGAGGGGAGCUGAGUACGGAAGCUCCAUUAAUCAUACCCCAACCUUGGGUUUAGAUAUUCAGUUUAUGGGUUGGGAGAGGGAGUUUGCCGGAAAGAAAGCAUCAAGGUUGGCCGCUGACUCCAGAGAAAUGAAAAGGGAGCAAGGUCGUUUUCUGUUUCUGGAAAUCAAGAAUUAGGAAUGGGCAACUACAGGUGCUAACCAACAGACCACUUUUUUGUUUUUUGGUAGCCCUUUGGCAAGGAUAGUUUUUCCACCUUUGCCCGAUACAAUUAAAAAAAAAUCCUUUUAUUAUGGAAUUUGUCAAACACACACACAAGCAUAACAAACCCCUAGGUACCCAUUUCCAAGUUUUGACCCCUAUUAUAAUUUCAUCUUCAAUGUUUUAUUAUCCACUUCCUCUCUCUCUAUCUUUAGUAUUUUAAAGUAAAUCCCAGAUAGCAUCACAUCAUUUCACCCCCACCAUAGGAUUUCAAAGAUCUGUUAUAUUUCAAGAUUGAGUAAAAGGGCUUGAAAUUGGGUUAUUGCAAUGAAACUCUAGAAAAAACUUGAGGGUUCACCCAGGAGUAAGCUGGACAAAAAGGGGGUUUGAGGGGUGGACCCAUCUUGCCUAAAAAUCUUGUCUCAUCUUUCUAAAAAUUACAUAUGAAAGAGGAAGAUUUAUGUUACUUUUUUAUAUGAGAGAAUCGUCCUUUAAUAGAAAAUUUCUAUUGCUGCAUCAGAAUUAUGGAGGAACACAAAAAACAUACCUCAGUCCUUAGUGUGUCCUAAAUUAACACAUAUUCACUUAUUAGUGGGUAAAUGACUAUAUUUCAUUUCAGCACAACUUCUCCCCUGGUAGAAACUCAAAAGAAAUUUCUAAUGAUUAAACUAGGAAAGUUUGCACUGAAUUGAUGGCUUAUCAGAGCAACUGCAGUUUUCAGGAAGAAAUUCAAUGCCAUGCAUUGAAAAUAUUCCCCUAGCAAUAAGGGAUUAUUUUUUAAAAAGAAUGAAUAAAGAUGUUCUGGUUUCUUUUGUUUUAA